RNAcentral lists this unclassified non-coding RNA (206 nucleotides) under Hevea brasiliensis (rubber tree). Lineage: Eukaryota; Viridiplantae; Streptophyta; Magnoliopsida; Malpighiales; Euphorbiaceae. The record is from RNAcentral.
GAAAAAGAAGAAGGAAGUUCUUGCUCGGUUACUCCACUUUCAGCACCUUCUGGUUUAGCAAAUAUUCUUCUACAAGAAGAGUAAAGCUUGUGCUGUGGGAUUAUUAGAAAGUGAGGAGUUGAGGGAGAAAAAGCACUGAAAUUUAAGGCCAUGGAAUGUAUAUAUUUUUCUGUGUUUUGGUAAAUUCCGGGAGCUUUGAAGCUUUC